Molecule: long non-coding RNA, 458 nt
Organism: Myotis myotis
Lineage: Eukaryota; Metazoa; Chordata; Mammalia; Chiroptera; Vespertilionidae
Exons: 3
Source: RefSeq, a predicted model, not a curated record
CCCAAACCCCUGGAGGUGUCCGCCCGUCCUACCCCACCACGAGGGCUAGUCAUGUCCAGGUUCUCUGUGUGUCCAUAGGCUCCUCUGGGCCUCAGUUUCCACAUUUGUGUCAUGAGGAAAAUGUCAUCUGCCUACCUCAGAGGACCACCGCAAAAGUGAGAUCAUGGACAGAAAGCACAUGACACCUGGUAGAUCCUGCCAUAAUUGACUGAUGGAAAAAUAGACUCAUGGGUCUGACAUCACCCCCAUAAACCAACACUUGAAUAAUUCAACCUAUCAGAGCCCUGGUUCUUGUCCAGAAAAAUUCCAGCCCCAAAGCAAAAGAUUUCUCUGGAGGGAAAUGCUCACCCACAAACAGGCUCCUCUGGGCCUCAGUUUCCACAUUUGUGUCAUGAGGAAAAUGUCAUCUGCCUACCUCAGAGGACCACUGCACAAAUGAGAUCAUGGACAGAAAGCAC